Molecule: RNA transcript, 3652 nt
Organism: Passer montanus (Eurasian tree sparrow)
Lineage: Eukaryota; Metazoa; Chordata; Aves; Passeriformes; Passeridae
Gene: TAFA5
Gene name: TAFA chemokine like family member 5
Exons: 6
Source: RefSeq, a predicted model, not a curated record
CCGGGGCCCGCGCUCCGCCUGCGGGGGCUGCCCCCGGGGAGGGGGAGGCGCGGGGAAGGACAGCAAGCGGAACAACUUCUGCUAAUCGAAAACAGAAAAGAAAAAAAAAAGGAGGCUUGUUCGUGGGACAUCUGCGAAGCUCAGUACCACGCGAGGCAUCCCAGCCGCAGUGAAACCCUCCAUGCUAGUGCAUCCCACCACAGUGACAGGAGGGACGCUGGCUGUGGCCGCUGUUCCCAAGCCCCGCUUGCAUUAGAGUCGCCUUGUUUUUCUGGCUGGAAGAUGAUUCCUGCAACAGGACCAUGUUGCUGAUGAUGAGCAGCAGAGUCGUUGGAAGAUGCCUUCCUUGAGGAUUACACGUGGAACGAGGCCAUCAGUCGAGGGGAGAGCUGGCUGGUGAAACUGUCUGACUUUCCCCCCACCGGGGAAGUGGCUUCAAUGGCUCCAUCUCCCAGGAGAAGCAGUAGGAAAGAUGCCAGCGCCCUGCCAAGCAUGUCCUCAACUUUCUGGGCUAUCAUGAUCCUGGCUAGUCUCCUAAUCGCUUACUGCAAUUAUAACAGCUAUUUUGGAGCGGAUAACCCUCAAUGGCUGUAUAUGAGACAUUGCCCGGGGUGCCUCCAAGAUGCUUUUGAGCUGGGUCAGCUGGCUGCAGGUACAUGUGAGAUUGUUACUUUGGACAGAGAUAGCAGUCAGCCCCGAAGGACUAUAGCCCGACAAACAGCUCGCUGUGCAUGUAAAAAAGGACAGAUUGCCGGUACAACAAGAGCAAGGCCAGCGUGUGUUGAUGCACGAAUUAUCAAAACAAAACAGUGGUGUGAAAUGCUUCCAUGUUUAGAAGGAGAAGGCUGUGAUUUGCUAAUCAAUAAAUCAGGCUGGACCUGUACACAACCAGGAGGACGGAUAAAAACAACCACGCCUGUCUGAGGCCAUGUGGUUUGGAGAUCUGAUCACUAGUCCGAAAAGGAAAGGCUGUUUGCAAGAUUUCCGGGGUGUUUUUUCCUGGAAAAGGUCUCCUGACAAAUGCAGCAACACAGAAUCCUCGUAGGAGUGGUUUAGGCUCUCUGUGAGCUACUUAACUUAGUCAAGUUUCACUGCUGUUGACCAUCAUCUGUUAUAUGUCAUCAACUCAACUGUCUGUUUCUCUGUAUCUCAUGAAUGACAGCAUAAUUCCUCUGCAUUAUGAGCUAAAGUUUGUUCUACCAUUCUAAGGAUCACUGGACUAAGGAAUAUAGAAAAAGAGAUAUGCUUGGGCAUUAGCAAUACAAAAAAGUUCAUGGUUAACGUUUCAUCUGCGUUAUACACCACUGCUGGACUUGCUGUUACCUACAUGUUUCAAUCCGAAGAGUCUGCUACAAUGAAGAGUAUCAUCCCAAUCAGCCUUAGAGAAGACUGUUUUGCCUAUGGGAGGACACUGAGGUGCAAAAGAGAAACUCUUCUUGUGCCCUAAACUGUCUGAAUUGCUUUUAUUUUCUUAUACUUUCAGUAUUUACAAUAGACCAAAGAGCAAAAUCUAUUUUAAAGUGGACACAAUCUUACUCUUAAGAGAGUUAUGUCAUUAAAUUGAAGGUCUCCACAAAGACAUGAUUCCAGCUUUCACAAAGCUGAAAUGUUGUCCAGCAGAAGUCUUUACGGAAAGCUGAAGUAAAAACUAACUCAGAAACCUGCUCUUGAAAUGCCAUGUUCAAGAGAACAUAAUGGAACACUGAGAGAAAAUUACCUAUGUUUGAAAAACUUGGACAAAAAGAACACAAACUGUCUAUACAGCACCUUUAUUCCUCUGUACUUAGAUUGACUUUCUCGUACUAAAAUCAUUUUCCGUUUUAACCAGUUAAACAUGCCUCUUCUACAGUUCCAUUUUUGAUAGUUAAAGUUGGAUAAUACAGUAUUUGCAAAGAGCAUGUUUGGUCAUCUGUGGCCUAUGUCUCAUCUGAUACACCAUUUAGCACCAGAAAGCAAAUUAAAGAGAAAACAAAAGUAACACUUGUUUGAAAGAGAUCAUUAAAUGUAUUUUGAAAAGCCUAAAGUUAUAUAUUUAACAGUUUUUAUAUGUUGUAUAUUUGUAGAAAAUCCUAUUUAACAAUUAACGUGAUAACUCUGACAGUCAUGAAAAGUGGUUCAGAGUUAAGUUGUGUUUUAUUACUUCAGUUGUCUCUGAAGUGACUGGUGUCGUUUGCUUUCUUCCACUGGGACAUUCUGGAUGUAAAGCAUGACCAGAGAGGACUGUGUAGAAAAAGCAAAGAAUAAUGUUGUUUAUAUUACAUAAAUGCAUUCAACCAUUGCACUGUUGGAAGGCAUUUUUUAUUUUUAUUUUUAUUUUUUUGUCUUUAUGUACUGAUAAAAAUAGAGUGUAAAAUAUUUUACUCAUUGCUCUUCAUAGCAAAGUUUUCCUUCCUUCCUUCCUUCCUUCCUUGUAAGGGUCAAUUUGAAGCCUGUUCCUUGAUCCCAUUUUCAGUGUUUUACCUCAUUGUUAGAAAGCCCACUUUUUCAGCAUUAUUGGUUAGUGAAAAUUUAGCAAAGACAGCAUAGACAAGGGAGAAAUUAUGAUAAAACAGAAACAAAAUCUUGUUUCUUUUACUGUACCUUUUGGCAUAUAAUUUUAGUACAUAUUGGUAUGAUACAAUCAACAAGGGAGCUUAAUUUCUUCCUGGCAAAUGUAUUACGGUUUCAAGUAUACUACCUAAUAGUCCAAUUAACUUUUAGUGUUAUGCUAGUUCUAUUCUAAUAAAGAAAGAAGAUAUAGAGAUUAUUCAAGUGACCAUAGAUGAAAGAUACAAAAAUGAAAAAUUGAUUAAAGAAUUUUUUAAAAGUCUACUCAAACACUGAGGCUUAUAUAAUGUAGAGGUUGCAGGAAAAUCUGAACUAUGGAUCAUUUUGUCUUCAAGCAAAAUAAAUAUAUACAAAAUUCUUAUUUAAUCAUAGGAUUUUGACCAGUAUCAAAGUAGCAAUUAAAGCCCAACCACUUGUAAAGUGUUAUGGACUGACUGCACUAUAAAUGACCAAUGUCAGGUUUAAAAUGUCAUGCAAUAAAUGAUGGUAAAUAGAUUUACUGUACAUGUAGACCUCAAGAGCCAGAUCCCUCACUCUACCAACUCUCUGUUUUGAUUUAUUUUAAAGGGAGCUUCGUAGCCUUAUUUAGUAAACACAGAAAAAAUGGAAGAUGUUGCAUCAUUUUUGUUGCUUUACAGUAUUCAGUUUUGUGUUGGUUCAGCUAAAUUAUGAAAAAUAAAGAAAAACCUUUUAUAAGUGAGACUUGUUCCCUGAGCAUGACAUCACCAAAGGAGUUCCACCAGAUGAUAAGAAAGGUGGGAACACAGAGAGGGAGAUGGAAUUGGAAACUGAGGACAUGAACUGUAUUUUGAAGUUUUACACUUUAAUUUUCAUGUCUUAGGUACCUUCAUUUUGGUGUAUUCAGUUACAGAUCAUAUUAUUGUCAUUUAUUUUCAGGAAAAGGGAUCCUCUAAGAACAAGAGGAUCUAAGAAUGGACAUCUGAAAUAUUUACAUCUAGAAUCAUACAGUCCAAUCAGUUAUGAAUAUGCAACCUUAUGUCUUUGUUUUCUAAUUACAUUAAAUAUUCAAAAAAAGGGUAGAUGUACAUGGUUAUAAGGUCUACUCUGGAUAAGAACUAUCAAAGAAAAAAAGUUUGAUUAUUCU